UACGUAGGGUGCGAGCGUUAAUCGGAAUUACUGGGCGUAAAGCGUGCGCAGGCGGUUUUGUAAGGCAGGGGUGAAAUCCCCGGGCUUAACCUGGGAAUGGCAUUUGGGACUGCAAGGCUUGAGUGCGGCAGAGGAGACUGGAAUUCCUGGUGUAGCAGUGAAAUGCGUAGAUAUCAGGAGGAACACCGAUGGCGAAGGCAGGUCUCUGGGCUGACACUGACGCUCAUGCACGAAAGCGUGGGGAGCAAACAGG
RNAcentral lists this ribosomal RNA (253 nucleotides) under uncultured bacterium. RNAcentral's name for it is "partial 16S ribosomal RNA". It matches the Rfam family "Bacterial small subunit ribosomal RNA", at positions 524 to 776 of the family's 1533-position model. The record is from RNAcentral.